Molecule: ribosomal RNA, 386 nt
Filed under: uncultured bacterium
Lineage: Bacteria
Description: bacterial SSU rRNA
Rfam family: Bacterial small subunit ribosomal RNA
Source: RNAcentral
AUUGAACGCUGGCGGCAUGCCUUACACAUGCAAGUCGAACGGCAGCACGGGAGCAAUCCUGGUGGCGAGUGGCGAACGGGUGAGUAAUACAUCGGAACGUGCCCAGUAGUGGGGGAUAACCCGGCGAAAGCCGGACUAAUACCGCAUACGACCUACGGGUGAAAGCAGGGGAUCGCAAGACCUUGCGCUAUCGGAGCGGCCGAUGUCAGAUUAGCUAGUUGGUGGGGAAAAGCCCACCAAGGCGACGAUCUGUAGCUGGUCUGAGAGGACGACCAGCCACACUGGGACUGAGACACGGCCCAGACUCCUACGGGAGGCAGCAGUGGGGAAUUUUGGACAAUGGGCGCAAGCCUGACGCAGCGACGCCGCGUGAGGGAUGACGGCCU